CAGCCGCCGCGGUAAUACGUAGGGUGCGAGCGUUAAUCGGAAUUACUGGGCGUAAAGCGUGCGCAGGCGGUUUUGUAAGACAGGCGUGAAAUCCCCGGGCUCAACCUGGGAAUGGCGCUUGUGACUGCAAAGCUAGAGUGCGGCAGAGGGGGAUGGAAUUCCGCGUGUAGCAGUGAAAUGCGUAGAUAUGCGGAGGAACACCGAUGGCGAAGGCAAUCCCCUGGGCCUGCACUGACGCUCAUGCACGAAAGCGUGGGGAGCAAACAGGAUUAGAUACCCGGGUAGUCCCUGUCUCUUAUAC
RNAcentral lists this ribosomal RNA (301 nucleotides) under uncultured bacterium. RNAcentral's name for it is "partial 16S ribosomal RNA". It matches the Rfam family "Bacterial small subunit ribosomal RNA", at positions 509 to 807 of the family's 1533-position model. The record is from RNAcentral.